UAGCAAGAGUGCAAGUAAAGGAUUUAUACAGUUCAUAUAUGAUAUCUGAAAGUAAAAUAUUUUUUUCCCAGUGUAGAUGCAGACUUUCAUUUAGAUUUAGCAGGUGAGAAAUAAAUUAAUAUGUUUCCAAAACUGCUACAAAUUCAGUCUUUUUUCCUAUUCAAAUGUCACAGAAACAUGCCUUGGAAAUCAACCUCUGGAGGUUACCUAGUUCAAUAUCCUUCUCAAACUGAUAACACUACUUCUGUCUGUCUUGGCACAGUUUAACCAUGAUGAGAAAUGUUUGACGAUGAAGGCUCAGCAAAGGAAAACAAUACAGGAAGAAGAGAUCUACCUAAGUGAAAGAUUCCACUUGGCACAAAAGCAACUGGCUAUGAUUAAGUGCAGGCCAGAAAUUCAAAGGAAAUUUGGACUACCAGAUGAGUUUGAUUCUAAUGUGACUCUUGAGGGCAUUAUGGUUGGAGCUUAUGUCAGCCACAACAGAAGAAAGUGCUUGAGUGAAUCGAUGGCAAACCGUUGUACAACCUAAAGAAUUCACAAUUUUCACAUACUGAAGGGCAAGAUGUCACAUUUCACAGAAGUGGUUGCUGUCUCUGUCUCAUCCAAGGAUGCUGGAAGGAAGCUGGGAGCCCUCUUGAGGCUGGAAAAUAAAGAAAGCUAAUCAGAAAACCUCCUGGCUCUG
RNAcentral lists this long non-coding RNA (682 nucleotides) under Coturnix japonica (Japanese quail). RNAcentral's name for it is "lncRNA (ENSCJPG00005007990.1)". Lineage: Eukaryota; Metazoa; Chordata; Aves; Galliformes; Phasianidae. The record is from RNAcentral.